Molecule: ribosomal RNA, 492 nt
Filed under: uncultured bacterium
Lineage: Bacteria
Description: partial 16S ribosomal RNA
Rfam family: Bacterial small subunit ribosomal RNA
Source: RNAcentral
AGUGAACGCUGGCGGUAGGCCUAACACAUGCAAGUCGAACGGCAGCACAGUAAGGGCUUGCUCUUACGGGUGGCGAGUGGCGGACGGGUGAGGAAUACAUCGGAAUCUACUUUUUCGUGGGGGGUAACGUAGGGAAACUUACGCUAAUACCGCAUACGACCUACGGGUGAAAGCAGGGGAUCUUCGGACCUUGCGCGAUUGAAUGAGCCGAUGUCGGAUUAGCUAGUUGGCGGGGUAAAGGCCCACCAAGGCGACGAUCCGUAGCUGGUCUGAGAGGAUGAUCAGCCACACUGGAACUGAGACACGGUCCAGACUCCUACGGGAGGCAGCAGUGGGGAAUAUUGGACAAUGGGCGCAAGCCUGAUCCAGCCAUACCGCGUGGGUGAAGAAGGCCUUCGGGUUGUAAAGCCCUUUUGUUGGGAAAGAAAAGCAGCAGGUUAAUACCCCGCUGUUCUGACGGUACCCAAAGAAUAAGCACCGGCUAACUUCGUG